AACGCUUCAGGCCGCACAUGCACCGUAGCCGUCGUCCACAGAACCUCGCAUGGGCCUCCUGCCGCUGUUCCUCCGGGCUGUCGCGAGGCUGGCUGCGUGCCUGGCGAGCCGGCCGCUGCCCGAGACGGCGGCGACCGUACUGUUCCACGCCGGGGCGCUGCCGCGGGACCCCGCGCUGGAGCGCCUGGUCUGCGACGACGUGCUCGACGGCGGCGGCGGCGGCGAAGGCGACUGCGACAUCCUGCGUUUCGUCGUCGGCGUCAUGAGGUCCUUGGGCUAGCCGUCAGCCACACCUGCACUGCACCUGCACGGCUGCACGGCCAGAGUUCUUCAAGACAUGCGCUGCUGACCGCUGGAGUGCUGACUUUGCCCUCCGUUCUUUUUUUUUCUCUCUCUCUUUUGAUUGGCAAACUAGUAUGACCUAGCUACCAGUUUGGCCUCAGUGUCAAUGGUCUGAAUCAAAGGUACAAAUGACACCCCCAAAAAAAAGCACUUCACGAUUUCUUUCAUCUAUCUAUAACAAUAUUGGAACAAGACUAGCAGUUGUUUCGGUUGAAACUAUGACCUAGUACAUAUAUAAAAUUGAUU
Long non-coding RNA from Zea mays, 588 nucleotides. RefSeq lists it as uncharacterized. The transcript is spliced from 2 exons. Lineage: Eukaryota; Viridiplantae; Streptophyta; Magnoliopsida; Poales; Poaceae. The record is from RefSeq and is marked validated.